RNAcentral lists this ribosomal RNA (444 nucleotides) under uncultured Cytophagaceae bacterium. RNAcentral describes it as "bacterial SSU rRNA". It matches the Rfam family "Bacterial small subunit ribosomal RNA", at positions 354 to 796 of the family's 1533-position model. The record is from RNAcentral. Lineage: Bacteria; Pseudomonadati; Bacteroidota; Cytophagia; Cytophagales; Cytophagaceae.
GUAGGGAAUAUUGGUCAAUGGAUGGAAGUCUGAACCAGCCAUGCCGCGUGCAGGAAGAAGGCCUUCUGGGUUGUAAACUGCUUUUGCCAGGGGAUAAAAAGACCGUGCGCGGUUAAUUGAAGGUACCUGGUGAAUAAGCCACGGCUAACUACGUGCCAGCAGCCGCGGUAAUACGUAGGUGGCAAGCGUUGUCCGGAUUUAUUGGGUUUAAAGGGUGCGUAGGCGGCCCCGUAAGUCAGUGGUGAAAUAUCUCAGCUUAACUGAGAGGGUGCCAUUGAUACUGCGGGGCUUGAGUACAGAUGAGGUAGGCGGAAUUGACGGUGUAGCGGUGAAAUGCAUAGAUAUCGUCAAGAACACCGAUAGCGAAGGCAGCUUACUAAGCUGUAACUGACGCUGAGGCACGAAAGUGUGGGGAUCAAACAGGAUUAGAAACCCUGGUAGUCC